GAUCAUGGCUCAGGAUGAACGCUAGCUACAGGCUUAACACAUGCAAGUCGAGGGGUAGCAGGGUAGCAAUACCGCUGACGACCGGCGCACGGGUGAGUAACACGUAUCCAACCUCCCCAUAACUCAGGGAUAGCCUUUCGAAAGAAAGAUUAAUACCUGAUAGUACUUUUUCAAGGCAUCUUGAGAAAGUUAAAGAUUUAUUGGUUAUGGAUGGGGAUGCGUUCCAUUAGAUAGUUGGUGAGGUAACGGCUCACCAAGUCUUCGAUGGAUAGGGGUUCUGAGAGGAAGGUCCCCCACAUUGGUACUGAGACACGGGCCAAACUCCUACGGGAGGCAGCAGUGAGGAAUAUUGGUCAAUGGGCGAGAGCCUGAACCAGCCAAGUAGCGUGAAGGAAUGAAGGUCCUAUGGAUUGUAAACUUCUUUUAUAGUAGAAUAAAGUGAUCCACGUGUGGAUUUUUGUAUGUAUACUAUGAAUAAGGAUCGGCUAACUCCGUGCCAGCCGCCGC
This 507-nucleotide ribosomal RNA is filed under the name uncultured bacterium. RNAcentral's name for it is "bacterial SSU rRNA". It matches the Rfam family "Bacterial small subunit ribosomal RNA", at positions 15 to 518 of the family's 1533-position model. The record is from RNAcentral.